GCCUCCAUAGCUCAGUUGGUAGAGCACCGCACUUGUAAUGCGACGGUCGUUGGUUCGAGUCCGACUGGGGGCU
RNAcentral lists this transfer RNA (73 nucleotides) under Reichenbachiella agarivorans. Its description in RNAcentral is "Reichenbachiella sp. BKB1-1 tRNA-Thr". It matches the Rfam family "tRNA". From Rfam's summary of the family: Transfer RNA (tRNA) molecules are approximately 80 nucleotides in length. Their secondary structure includes four short double-helical elements and three loops (D, anti-codon, and T loops). The record is from RNAcentral. Lineage: Bacteria; Pseudomonadati; Bacteroidota; Cytophagia; Cytophagales; Reichenbachiellaceae.